UCAAAUCUGAGAGAACUGAUUUCUGAAAGAACAAACACCCAGAAUCAAUUUGGAGAAGAACAAUUACCAGUAAGAAUGGGCAAUUGUAAAAUGCAAUAUGCAUAUUAAUUUCCUACUUAUAGAUAAUUGUCUUCCCAUGUAACUACCAGGACCUAUUAAUGACAAGAAGCCACAGAAAUAUUGGUCAAUCUUCAAUUAGGUUGUAUCUGAUGCACAUGUAGCGAUAAGAAAACCCAACAAAAGCCAAAUAAAAAUUUCAACAAGUGAAAUAAAAGGCAUCUACCUCAUACAACUCAUGGGCCCUGUUCUAAUUACAAAGAGUAAUGCAGAAAUUUAGGCUUGUUAAUUUGAAUGCAGUACAACCUUGUUCCAAAAUAAUAACUUUACGAUCUAGAAAUUUCCUAUAAUUUAUUCUAUUUAUUUCUCCCGUAAUAAGUGCACCCCAUCCGAAAAUAAGUAUAUUUAUAUGUGGGUACAUGCACACGCAAACGCAAGCGUGCAUGCACACAAUUCAGAAGAUUCAAACUUUACAACAUUCCAAUAAAAGACAAACAAGGGGCAAAAUGUUUAAGCAUGUGACAUUGUGUUCCCAAUAACCAAUGGAAGGUUAACCCUUUUAUAAACAUUUUCCAGAAUAAAUGGCUUAACAUCCAACCACAAACUAACUCUUGAUUAUGAAUUGUUAAAAAAUUUACAUUUCAUUGGAUGCCAUUUUGGUAAGCUUUUAAAUGUUCUCAGGUGCCUACUACUAAUGGUGAUUUAUGUCCAUACUAAAGGUCUUAGGUUUUUCCACAGUGCAGGCAUCCACAAUCAAUCUUCCGCUAAUAAAUAAAGAGGAAUUCCAUAACUUGAAGUAUCACUUCAGAUUGAACUGUAUAGUUCAACCAAUUCAUAUCACCAGCAACUGAUAUCUCCAGUAAAGACAACAAAGAUUCAUGUAUGCUUUCAACUACAUUCCCUGCUCAUUUCAUACCAUUAACAGACCCUGAAUAAGUACUCAGGGGUGAUGUAGCACAGUGGAAUAAAACAAUUUGAUAAGGCUAUUGCAUGCAGCUCUUUUCAAGACAUUUUUGUCCAAUAUACUGAUAGAACCUUACAGGUGAGACUACAAUGAGAAUUAAGAAUGUAGAAAAGUAAGUAGUGGAUUAAUUAAUUCAUAAAUUCUUCUAGAGUCAGCGAUCUUGAGGCCUAAUAAUCAAGGGCUUCUUGCAAUAAGUUGGAUAGAUUAAAGUUUGAAUAUUGACUAAAUGGAUCUGAAUUCCCUCAUGCAGAUUGAAACAUAUAAUAACUUUUGUAUAACUCCAACCGCUUGUCAAUUUUAGAUUAAAUAAGUGAAAUUUUUGUUAAAAAAAAUCAAUUUUAUAUUUUCAGAAAGUAAGCUAAACCAUUCAUUUUGAAUUCAGAUUGAAUUAUACAUCUAUGACAGUAGCACGAAGAACUAAUAUAAAUAUUAAAAAAGAAUCAUAAUAUAUGCUUUGAUUACGCCCAAUCAACUUCACACUGCAGCAGUCCAUGACAAAAACUGAGAUAUCAAUUCGUUCAAGUAAAGACCUGAAGAAAUCAGUUCAAACAAAACAAUUUAUCAUUUCGCUUUGAGAAGUCUCAAAGAUUCAAUAUUUCCACUUUGUCACAACUUCCCAACAAUACCUGAGCUAAACUCUACAACUGCCAUGAAAUACACAAACCCAAAACCCUGAAUAUACAUGUACGCACAAACAAUUCAAGUCAAUUCAAUUCAAAGAAAGAAAAUAGAAUCUACAAACACUAACCUUAUCAGUAGAACCCGACUUGCG
This 1793-nucleotide unclassified non-coding RNA is filed under the name Hevea brasiliensis (rubber tree). Lineage: Eukaryota; Viridiplantae; Streptophyta; Magnoliopsida; Malpighiales; Euphorbiaceae. The record is from RNAcentral.